This 2565-nucleotide ribosomal RNA is filed under the name Listeria monocytogenes. RNAcentral describes it as "partial 23S ribosomal RNA". It matches the Rfam family "Bacterial large subunit ribosomal RNA", at positions 361 to 2925 of the family's 2925-position model. Lineage: Bacteria; Bacillati; Bacillota; Bacilli; Caryophanales; Listeriaceae. The record is from RNAcentral.
CGGUAACAGCCCGGUAGUUGAAAUAGCUUUCCCUCCAGAGUGGAUCCUGAGUACGGCGGAACACGUGAAAUUCCGUCGGAAUCCGGGAGGACCAUCUCCCAAGGCUAAAUACUCCCUAGUGACCGAUAGUGAACCAGUACCGUGAGGGAAAGGUGAAAAGCACCCCGGAAGGGGAGUGAAACAGUUCCUGAAACCGUGUGCCUACAAGUAGUUAGAGCCCGUUAAUGGGUGAUAGCGUGCCUUUUGUAGAAUGAACCGGCGAGUUACGAUUUGUUGCAAGGUUAAGCGGAAAAAGCGGAGCCGUAGCGAAAGCGAGUCUGAAUAGGGCGCAUAAGUAACAGGUCGUAGACCCGAAACCAGGUGAUCUACCCAUGUCCAGGAUGAAGGUAAGGUAAUACUUACUGGAGGUCCGAACCCACGCACGUUGAAAAGUGCGGGGAUGAGGUGUGGGUAGCGGAGAAAUUCCAAUCGAACUUGGAGAUAGCUGGUUCUCUCCGAAAUAGCUUUAGGGCUAGCCUCGAGGUAAAGAGUCAUGGAGGUAGAGCACUGUUUGGACUAGGGGCCCUUCUCGGGUUACCGAAUUCAGAUAAACUCCGAAUGCCAUGUACUUAUACUCGGGAGUCAGACUGCGAGUGAUAAGAUCCGUAGUCGAAAGGGAAACAGCCCAGACCACCAGUUAAGGUCCCCAAAUAUAUGUUAAGUGGAAAAGGAUGUGGGGUUGCUUAGACAACCAGGAUGUUGGCUUAGAAGCAGCCACCAUUGAAAGAGUGCGUAAUAGCUCACUGGUCGAGUGACCCCGCGCCGAAAAUGUACCGGGGCUAAACAUAUUACCGAAACUGUGGAUGAACCUCUUUAGAGGUUCGUGGUAGGAGAGCGUUCUAAGGGCGGUGAAGUCAGACCGGAAGGACUGGUGGAGCGCUUAGAAGUGAGAAUGCCGGUAUGAGUAGCGAAAGAAGGGUGAGAAUCCCUUCCACCGAAUAUCUAAGGUUUCCUGAGGAAGGCUCGUCCGCUCAGGGUUAGUCGGGACCUAAGCCGAGGCCGAUAGGCGUAGGCGAUGGACAACAGGUAGAGAUUCCUGUACCAGUGCUAAUUGUUUAACCGAUGGGGUGACACAGAAGGAUAGGGAAUCGCACGAAUGGAAAUGUGCGUCCAAGCAGUGAGUGUGAGAAGUAGGCAAAUCCGCUUCUCGCGAAGCAUGAGCUGUGAUGGGGAAGGAAAUUAAGUACGGAAGUUCCUGAUUUCACGCUGUCAAGAAAAGCCUCUAGGAAGAGUAGUACUGCCCGUACCGCAAACCGACACAGGUAGAUGAGGAGAGAAUCCUAAGGUGAGCGAGAGAACUCUCGUUAAGGAACUCGGCAAAAUGACCCCGUAACUUCGGGAGAAGGGGUGCUCUAUUAGGGUGCAAGCCCGAGAGAGCCGCAGUGAAUAGGCCCAGGCGACUGUUUAGCAAAAACACAGGUCUCUGCAAAACCGUAAGGUGACGUAUAGGGGCUGACGCCUGCCCGGUGCUGGAAGGUUAAGAGGAGUGCUUAGCUUCGGCGAAGGUACGAAUUGAAGCCCCAGUAAACGGCGGCCGUAACUAUAACGGUCCUAAGGUAGCGAAAUUCCUUGUCGGGUAAGUUCCGACCCGCACGAAAGGCGCAACGAUCUGGGCACUGUCUCAACGAGAGACUCGGUGAAAUUAUAGUACCUGUGAAGAUGCAGGUUACCCGCGACAGGACGGAAAGACCCCGUGGAGCUUUACUGCAACCUGAUAUGGAAUGUUUGUACCGCUUGUACAGGAUAGGUAGGAGCCGAAGAGACGUGUGCGCUAGCAUACGAGGAGGCAAUGGUGGGAUACUACCCUGGCUGUAUGACCAUUCUAACCCGCCACGCUUAGCGCGUGGGGAGACAGUGUCAGGUGGGCAGUUUGACUGGGGCGGUCGCCUCCUAAAGAGUAACGGAGGCGCCCAAAGGUUCCCUCAGAAUGGAUGGAAAUCAUUCGCAGAGUGUAAAGGCACAAGGGAGCUUGACUGCGAGACUGACAAGUCGAGCAGGGACGAAAGUCGGGCUUAGUGAUCCGGUGGUUCCGCAUGGAAGGGCCAUCGCUCAACGGAUAAAAGCUACCCCGGGGAUAACAGGCUUAUCUCCCCCAAGAGUCCACAUCGACGGGGAGGUUUGGCACCUCGAUGUCGGCUCGUCGCAUCCUGGGGCUGUAGUCGGUCCCAAGGGUUGGGCUGUUCGCCCAUUAAAGCGGCACGCGAGCUGGGUUCAGAACGUCGUGAGACAGUUCGGUCCCUAUCCGUCGCGGGCGCAGGAAAUUUGAGAGGAGCUGUCCUUAGUACGAGAGGACCGGGAUGGACACACCGCUGGUGUACCAGUUGUUCCGCCAGGAGCAUCGCUGGGUAGCUAUGUGUGGCAGGGAUAAACGCUGAAAGCAUCUAAGCGUGAAGCCCCCCUCAAGAUGAGAUUUCCCAUUUCUUCGGAAAGUAAGAUCCCUGAAAGAUGAUCAGGUAGAUAGGUUUGGAGUGGAAGUGUAGCGAUACAUGGAGCGGACAAAUACUAAUCGAUCGAGGACUUAACCAA